This 556-nucleotide ribosomal RNA is filed under the name uncultured Meliniomyces. RNAcentral's name for it is "eukaryotic LSU rRNA". The stretch from base 195 to 348 matches the Rfam family "5.8S ribosomal RNA". Lineage: Eukaryota; Fungi; Ascomycota; Leotiomycetes; Helotiales; Helotiaceae. The record is from RNAcentral.
UCCGUAGGGUGACCUGCGGAAGGAUCAUUAAAGAAUCGCCCCGUUUUUUGAAAUGGGUUCUAUUCCCAAACCGUGUAUACAUACCUUUGUUGCUUUGGCAGGCCGUCUUUUAGGCGUCGGCUCCGGCUGACUGCGCUUGCCAGAGGACCCAAACUCGUUUGUUUAGUGAUGUCUGAGUACUAUAUAAUAGUUAAAACUUUCAACAACGGAUCUCUUGGUUCUGGCAUCGAUGAAGAACGCAGCGAAAUGCGAUAAGUAAUGUGAAUUGCAGAAUUCAGUGAAUCAUCGAAUCUUUGAACGCACAUUGCGCCCCUUGGUAUUCCGAGGGGCAUGCCUGUUCGAGCGUCAUUAUAACCACUCAAGCCUCGGCUUGGUCUUGGGGUUCGCGGUAUCGCGGCCCUUAAAAUCAGUGGCGGUGCCGUCUGGCUCUAAGCGUAGUAAUUCUCUCGCUAUAGGGUCCCGGCGGUUACCUGCCAGAACCCCCCCAUUUUUUACGGUUGACCUCGGAUCAGGUAGGGAUACCCGCUGAACUUAAGCAUAUCAAUAAGCGGAGGAA